AUUCCAGCUCCAAUAGCGUAUACUAAAGUUGUUGCAGUUAAAAAGCUCGUAGUUGAAUUUCUGGUCGUGGCGAUCGGUCCGCCCCUCACGGGGUGUGCACCUGGUCUCUACGUCCAUCCUCGGGGAGAGCGCGCCUGGCAUUCAGUUGUCGGGCGUGGGAUCCUCGUCAUUUACUGUGAGCAAAAUAGAGUGUUCAAAGCAGGCUUAGGCCGUUGAAUACAUUAGCAUGGAAUAAUAAGAUAGGACCUUGGUCUAUUUUGUUGGUUUCGAACACCGGAGUAAUGAUUAACAGGGACAGUCAGGGGCACUCGUAUUCCGCCGAGAGAGGUGAAAUUCUCAGACCAGCGGAAGACGAACCACUGCGAAAGCAUUUGCCAGGGGUGUUUUCAUCG
RNAcentral lists this ribosomal RNA (392 nucleotides) under Chrysophyceae sp. Its description in RNAcentral is "partial small subunit ribosomal RNA". It matches the Rfam family "Eukaryotic small subunit ribosomal RNA", at positions 582 to 975 of the family's 1831-position model. The record is from RNAcentral. Lineage: Eukaryota; Chrysophyceae.